RNAcentral lists this ribosomal RNA (468 nucleotides) under uncultured bacterium. Its description in RNAcentral is "partial 16S ribosomal RNA". It matches the Rfam family "Bacterial small subunit ribosomal RNA", at positions 28 to 507 of the family's 1533-position model. The record is from RNAcentral.
GACGAACGCUGGCGGCGUGCUUAACACAUGCAAGUCGAACGGAAAGGCCCUGCUUUUGUGGGGUGCUCGAGUGGCGAACGGGUGAGUAACACGUGAGUAACCUGCCCUUGACUUUGGGAUAACUUCAGGAAACUGGGGCUAAUACCGGAUAGGAGCUCCUGCUGCAUGGUGGGGGUUGGAAAGUUUCGGCGGUUGGGGAUGGACUCGCGGCUUAUCAGCUUGUUGGUGGGGUAGUGGCUUACCAAGGCUUUGACGGGUAGCCGGCCUGAGAGGGUGACCGGCCACAUGGGGAUUGAGAGAGGCCCAAGACCCCGAGGGGGGGCAGAGGGGGGGAUUAUGGCACAAGGGGGGGAAGCCGGAGGCAGCACCGCCGGGGGGGGGAGGGGGGCCUUGGGUUUGUAACCCGCUUUCGCCUGUGACAAAGGGGGGGGGAGGGUAAGGGAUAAAGAACCACCGGCUAACUACGUC